This 496-nucleotide ribosomal RNA is filed under the name uncultured bacterium. RNAcentral describes it as "partial 16S ribosomal RNA". It matches the Rfam family "Bacterial small subunit ribosomal RNA", at positions 28 to 506 of the family's 1533-position model. The record is from RNAcentral.
GAUGAACGCUGGCGGCGUGCCUAAUACAUGCAAGUCGAGCGAACAGACGAGGAGCUUGCUCCUCUGACGUUAGCGGCGGACGGGUGAGUAACACGUGGAUAACCUACCUAUAAGACUGGGAUAACUUCGGGAAACCGGAGCUAAUACCGGAUAAUAUAUUGAACCGCAUGGUUCAAUAGUGAAAGACGGUUUUGCUGUCACUUAUAGAUGGAUCCGCGCCGCAUUAGCUAGUUGGUAAGGUAACGGCUUACCAAGGCAACGAUGCGUAGCCGACCUGAGAGGGUGAUCGGCCACACUGGAACUGAGACACGGUCCAGACUCCUACGGGAGGCAGCAGUAGGGAAUCUUCCGCAGUGGGCGAAAGCCUGACGGAGCAACGCCGCGUGAGUGAUGAAGGUCUUCGGAUCGUAAAACUCUGUUAUUAGGGAAGAACAAAUGUGUAAGUAACUAUGCACGUCUUGACGGUACCUAAGCAGAAAGCCACGGCUAACUACGU